UAACCUCUACAGUUUAGCUGCAUUUUACUUAAAAAUGCAUCCAUUACUCUAAAAAGCUUUUGGAAUGAGUGAUUCAUCAAAAAAGCUUAAAUAGCUCAAUCUUAUGUCCUACUAAUAAGGCACCACAUAUUUGUUUAAUUGUAAGUACAUAUUCAUAGCAUUUACAAUCAGCUGCAGUUUAGUUUUCAAGGACAUACUGUCUGUAAGGAGCUGUCAUUUUUGUCUGACAUGAGGUUUCUUGAAAAGUCACAAUUUCCCCUGCAGGUACUGAAGUUAUCCAAUUACACUUUAUUUAUUUAUUACAAUUAGUGCAUUCUUGGUAAGCUGUUGCAUGGAUAAAUGUUUUAAUUAAUCGCUAAUCCAACUAUUUUUCUGAACCAGGUGAUAAAACAGAUCACAACAGACUUGUGAGUUUUUGGAAGCAGGUAUGCAGAGUUUCCCAUGGUGAUUUUGGGGGGUUUGGUUGUUUGGGUUUGUUUGGGGGUUUUAUCUGUUUGGUGUUUUUUUUAAUCUGCUGUAUUAUCCUUGAUCCUAAUGGUAAAAUAAUAACUAAUUGUGUUUAAUUUAGGCUGAUUGUGAGUCAGCUCUGUAUCUGCUGAGGAAGUUAUCUGAGGCACCCUGUAAUUAGGUCUCUGCAGCACCUUCCUCGUACAUAAAUGGGCAAGUGGAUUCCUGGCUGUUUUCCUGUGAUCAACAAUGCAACUGAGGGACACAUCUGAGUGUCAGGUUAACUGUCUGGACAGCUGCAAGUCAAGCUUUCAAGACACGCUGCUUUAUCUGAUUGGUCUCAGUCUUGAUCUGGCACAUGAAAGGAAAUGUGAGGAAGUUUCCAGCAGAGAUCAUUUUGCGAGUCCAAAGAUGAGGGAAACUACCACUUCUUCCGUGCAUUCAGAACUGUGGGGGAUACUGAAGGACUCUAUGAGGUGGGAAAAUACAGCUGUGCUUUUUUUAAUUUAUUUUUUAAACAGUGUCUUUUAUGGUUAUUGUGAGCAGUGUGUGAAACUUAAGACUUUUAGCCUGCAGGGUGGAUGGAUCUGUCUCUGCCCCAAGAGGCUCACCAAAAACAUUCCCUGAGUUAUGGAUGAGCAUUGCCUUACAAAGCCAAUCCUACAGACUGCCUUCCUUCUGGAGACUGUUCCAGUCUCAGUGCUGGCUCCUCAGUUUGUACAGUUUUCUCCUAAUUCCACCAAG
Long non-coding RNA from Pseudopipra pipra, 1191 nucleotides. RefSeq lists it as uncharacterized. Lineage: Eukaryota; Metazoa; Chordata; Aves; Passeriformes; Pipridae. The record is from RefSeq and is a predicted model, not a curated record. The transcript has 3 exons.